GGGCAACCUACCUGUAAGACUGGGAUAACCCCGGGAAACCGGGGCUAAUACCGGAUGAUACAUAUCGUCGCAUGACGAGAUGUUGAAAGGCGGCAUAUGCUGUCACUUACAGAUGGGCCCGCGGCGCAUUAGCUAGUUGGUGAGAUAAAAGCUCACCAAGGCGACGAUGCGUAGCCGACCUGAGAGGGUGAUCGGCCACACUGGGACUGAGACACGGCCCAGACUCCUACGGGAGGCAGCCGUAGGGAAUCUUCCGCAAUGGACGAAAGUCUGACGGAGCAACGCCGCGUGAGUGAUGAAAGUUUUCGGAUCGUAAAGCUCUGUUGUCAGCAAAGAACAGGAAGAAGAGGGAAUGCUUUUUCUCUGACGGUAGCUGACCAGAAAGCCACGGCUAACUACGUGC
RNAcentral lists this ribosomal RNA (403 nucleotides) under uncultured Virgibacillus sp. RNAcentral's name for it is "bacterial SSU rRNA". It matches the Rfam family "Bacterial small subunit ribosomal RNA", at positions 119 to 508 of the family's 1533-position model. Lineage: Bacteria; Bacillati; Bacillota; Bacilli; Caryophanales; Bacillaceae. The record is from RNAcentral.